CGAUAUCUAUUAACCGUGGUAAGCGACCAGUAAAGUUGAUUGGGUUCUGAUUUACCUGUUAUCUGAAGUACGACCCGUUGAAAAACAUGGAAACGAACCCGCGCACCAAAUGGCAAAUUCACUUAAUAUCACGCGGCACGCACGUCAGAAGUUAUACGUUUGUUUACCCGGAUGGCUGGAUACUACUGUAUUUUUAUAGUACAUUAGUAUUUUUUACUACUUAAUUUACAUUUUCUUAUUUGCUAUAACUUAUGUACCAGAACCAGGCUUAGUAGUUAUUAUUUUUUGCUCAUUCUUUGCAAAUUAUUAGAUAUUGUUUUUAACCAAUAAUUACACGUAGUGGCAGAUUUUGAAUUUUAUUAAUAUGGUGAAUUUGUUCAAUUUUUCAACAACAAUGUAUCAUUCAAAACAGCAAUGAAUCGAGUUUGUUCACGUUUCUUAAAGGUCAUAGUCGUGUCGUCCAACGAAACAGAUUUGGAUACCAGUGAAUUGAAAAUGCAAACAUGUGGCUAGGGAAUCUGCUGUGUCUAGAUAUUUCAAUGUAAUUGUACAAUGCCUAUUAAAAACAUGGUUGUACCGUCUGGUUCUACAAACAGUAAAAGAAAUAAUAGCAACAAGUCUAUGUACCACAAGACCAGAUUCGUAUUAUAGGUAGUAGGUACUACAAUUUUUGUAAGUUUUACGAAAUGGUUUUAUUUUUUAACCAACGUACCUAUGAUAUGAGUAGGUAUAAAAAUAAAAAUGAUUAACUUUUAAUGUAAAUUAUUUUUUAUUUGUUUUUUAUUAUGUAGGCUGUAGUAUGGGUGUAGGGUCAAUCUCCAAAUCAUUGAAAAUACUUGACAUAUUUUGUGCUUCCUAAAACAUAAUUUAAUAGUAAAAUUGUAUUAAUUAAAAUUUGAAGGGCAAAAGAAAUUACAACUUAAUAUGCAAUGCUUCUGAAUAUGGUAAGUACCUACAUCCCAAUAUUAUCUAUUAUUAGUUACAUAUUUAAAUUUUAUUUAAUACAAUGUGUAAUAGCCCCAUGUAUACAAAUUACAACCGUUAUUAUAAUAUAAGAUAUAUAAAUAUACCUAUGAGUGCCGCCCUAUUCCCUCAAACUAAGGAUCUACCUUUAUUAUAGGUAUAAGUUUCUUAUAUUAGAUGGAGUUCUUUAUUAUAAGCUUAUGUCGUUCAUAUUAUAUUAUAGAAUAUCAGAGCAGGUAGCAAAUGUGAUGA
Long non-coding RNA from Metopolophium dirhodum (rose-grain aphid), 1215 nucleotides. RefSeq lists it as uncharacterized. The record is from RefSeq and is a predicted model, not a curated record. Lineage: Eukaryota; Metazoa; Arthropoda; Insecta; Hemiptera; Aphididae. The transcript is spliced from 3 exons.